UGGGUUAACCGGUUAACGCAGACCAAACAACAAUUCCUGCGCUAACACACGGCAGAAUGCAGAAUUCCGCCGUUGGAGGACUUCCGGACCUCCGAUUCCGAUUCCGUAAACAGCUAUACGAUCGGGAAAACAUUACUCACACAAAUACCGAUUUAAUUUCAACUUUCAACACAGUUCAUCCAACAACAUUUCAACAUUUACAAAUUCCAAUUAGGGUCAAAUUAACGGCUUAUCACUACCCAUGAC
RNAcentral lists this long non-coding RNA (246 nucleotides) under Lathyrus oleraceus (garden pea). RNAcentral describes it as "Pisum sativum (pea) long non-coding RNA (PSAT_LNC033744)". Lineage: Eukaryota; Viridiplantae; Streptophyta; Magnoliopsida; Fabales; Fabaceae. The record is from RNAcentral.